CGCGGCCUAUCAGCUUGUUGGUGGGGUAAUGGCCUACCAAGGCGACGACGGGUAGCCGGCCUGAGAGGGCGACCGGCCACACUGGGACUGAGACACGGCCCAGACUCCUACGGGGGGCAGCAGUGGGGAAUAUUGCACAAUGGGCGAAAGCCUGAUGCAGCGACGCCGCGUGAGGGAUGACGGCCUUCGGGUUGUAAACCUCUUUCAGCAGGGAAGAAGCGAAAGUGACGGUACCUGCAGAAGAAGCGCCGGCUAACUACGUGCCAGCAGCCGCGGUAAUACGUAGGGCGCAAGCGUUGUCCGGAAUUAUUGGGCGUAAAGAGCUCGUAGGCGACUUGUCACGUCGGAUGUGAAAGCCCGAGGCUUAACCUCGGGUCUGCAUUCGAUACGGGCUAGCUAGAGUGUGGUAGGGGAGAUCGGAAUUCCUGGUGUAGCGGUGAAAUGCGCAGAUAUCAGGAGGAACACCGGUGGCGAAGGCGGAUCUCUGGGCCAUUACUGACGCUGAGGAGCGAAAGCGUGGGGAGCGAACAGGAUUAGAUACCCUGGUAAUCCACGCCGUAAACGUUGGGAACUAGGUGUUGGCGACAUUCCACGUCGUCGGUGCCGCAGCUAACGCAUUAAGUUCCCCGCCUGGGGAGUACGG
RNAcentral lists this ribosomal RNA (643 nucleotides) under uncultured Actinomycetes bacterium. Its description in RNAcentral is "bacterial SSU rRNA". It matches the Rfam family "Bacterial small subunit ribosomal RNA", at positions 232 to 885 of the family's 1533-position model. Lineage: Bacteria; Bacillati; Actinomycetota; Actinomycetes. The record is from RNAcentral.